CACCGCCCGUCGCUACUACCGA
This 22-nucleotide non-coding RNA is filed under the name Bombyx mori (domestic silkworm). The record is from RNAcentral. Lineage: Eukaryota; Metazoa; Arthropoda; Insecta; Lepidoptera; Bombycidae. RNAcentral also lists the same sequence under 2 other names.